AUUGAACGCUGGCGGCAGGCUUAACACAUGCAAGUCGAGCGGGGUGAUGGUGCUUGCACUAUCACUUAGCGGCGGACGGGUGAGUAAUGCUUAGGAAUCUGCCUAUUAGUGGGGGACAACAUCUCGAAAGGGAUGCUAAUACCGCAUACGUCCUACGGGAGAAAGCAGGGGAUCACUUGUGACCUUGCGCUAAUAGAUGAGCCUAAGUCGGAUUAGCUAGUUGGUGGGGUAAAGGCCUACCAAGGCGACGAUCUGUAGCGGGUCUGAGAGGAUGAUCCGCCACACUGGGACUGGGACACGGCCCAGACUCCUACGGGAGGCAGCAGUGGGGAAUAUUGGACAAUGGGGGGAUCCCUGAUCUAGCCAUGCCGCGUGUGUGAAGAAGGCCUUAUGGUUGUAAAGCACUUUAAGCGAGGAGGAGGCUCUUUUGGUUAAUACCCAAGAUGAGUGGACGUUACUCGCAGAAUAAGCACCGGCUAACUCUGUGCCAGCCGCCGCCGUAA
Molecule: ribosomal RNA, 503 nt
Filed under: uncultured bacterium
Lineage: Bacteria
Description: partial 16S ribosomal RNA
Rfam family: Bacterial small subunit ribosomal RNA
Source: RNAcentral